GCGGCGGACGGGUGAGGAACACAUCGGAAUCUACCCUGUUGUGGGGGACAACGUAGGGAAACUUACGCUAAUACCGCAUACGACCUUUGGGUGAAAGUGGGGGACCCGCAAGGGCCUCACGCGAUUGGAUGAGCCGAUGUCCGAUUAGCUAGUUGGCGGGGUAAUGGCCCACCAAGGCGACGAUCGGUAGCUGGUCUGAGAGGACGACCAGCCACACUGGAACUGAGACACGGUCCAGACUCCUACGGGAGGCAGCAGUGGGGAAUAUUGGACAAUGGGGGCAACCCUGAUCCAGCCAUGCCGCGUGGGUGAAGAAGGCCUUCGGGUUGUAAAGCCCUUUUGUACGGGAAGAAAAGCUUCGGGUGAACAUCCUGGGGUCAUGACGGUACCGUAAGAAUAAGCACCGGCUAACUUCGUGCCAGCAGCCGCGGUAAUACGAAGGGUGCAAGCGUUACUCGGAAUUACUGGGCGUAAAGCGUGCGUAGGCGGUAUGUUAAGUCUGAUGUGAAAUCCCCGGGCUCAACCUGGGAAUGGCAUUGGAUACUGGCAGGCUAGAGUACGGUAGAGGGUGGUGGAAUUCCCGGUGUAGCAGUGAAAUGCGUAGAGAUCGGGAGGAACAUCUGUGGCGAAGGCGGCCACCUGGACCAGUACUGACGCUGAGGCACG
Molecule: ribosomal RNA, 666 nt
Filed under: uncultured Lysobacteraceae bacterium
Lineage: Bacteria; Pseudomonadati; Pseudomonadota; Gammaproteobacteria; Lysobacterales; Lysobacteraceae
Description: bacterial SSU rRNA
Rfam family: Bacterial small subunit ribosomal RNA
Source: RNAcentral